CAGUAGCCGCGGGAAUACGAGGGGGGCAAGCGUUGUUCGGAAUUAUUGGGCGUAAAGGGUGCGUAGGCGGUUUGAUAAGUUUGGUGUGAGAUCUCUGGGCUCAACCCAGAGUCUGCAUCGAAAACUGUCGGGCUUGAGUAUGGGAGAGGUGAGUGGAAUUUCCGGUGUAGCGGUGAAAUGCGUAGAUAUCGGAAGGAACACCUGUGGCGAAAGCGGCUCACUGGACCAUAACUGACGCUGAUGCACGAAAGCUAGGGGAGCAAACAGGAUUAAAUACCCGCGUAGUCCCUGUCUCUUAUAC
RNAcentral lists this ribosomal RNA (301 nucleotides) under uncultured bacterium. RNAcentral's name for it is "partial 16S ribosomal RNA". It matches the Rfam family "Bacterial small subunit ribosomal RNA", at positions 509 to 807 of the family's 1533-position model. The record is from RNAcentral.